UAUAGAAAAAAUUGGGGGGAGGAUGCAUGCACUCUCAUGAUUAGAAAGAUAGCAAAAGGACAAGACAAUAUUCUAUGUACUAUGAAUUUUUUUGUUUCAUGCACCCUGUGUACGUAGUAUGAAAAAUUUUAUAAGAAAAAAGGUUAUCUUGUGGGUGAGAUACUAUUUCUAUUGGACUUAAAAAAGUAAAAGACAAUUUACAAAUAAUUCAUGGUGAAAUUGGAAUGAAAACAGGAGAUUUAGAAUUUUCUGUAAGGAAUAUAGUUUUUUUUGAAGAAAAUAUACAGUGUAAAAAAAAUAUUAAACUUUGAAUAUAUGCCGGAAUUAUUUUUCUUAGGCUAGAUUUAAAAUUUCGUGUCAUUCUGACACUCCAAAAGUGAGGACGGAAAAUAGUAGCAAUCUGAUAAAGAUUUUAGUUAGUAGACCUUUCGGCGACAAAGAAAAUUAAGGUUCAGAACUGAAAAAUUAAGAUAACGUUCUUCUGGUUGAUUUUAACUAAGCUUGCCUUUAAAAUCAUUAUUGUUUAAGAUGAUACAGAGGGUGCAUGGAACAAAAUUUUCCAUAGUACAUGCCCCUUUAACAUAGCCUCUUGCCUUUAAAAUCAUUAUUGUUUAACAUGAUACAGAGGGUGCAUGAAACAAAAUUUUGCAUAGUAUAUGCCCAUUUAACAUAGCCCAUGUGAGUCUAUGUGAGGGAGGGAGAGCAUGUGAGGGAGAGAGGGAAAACCCAUAUAAAAAGAAGGCCACGUGGCUCGAUGGAGGAACGGCAUUUGGUUUCAACUUUAGUAUAGAGUUUAAUGAGUAAGAAAAAAGGUUAUCUUGUGGGUGAGAUACUAUUUCUAUUGGACUUAAAAAAGUAAAAGACAAUUUACAAAUAAUUCAUGGUGAAAUUGGAAUGAAAACAGGAGAUUUAGAAUUUUCUGUAAGGAAUAUAGUUUUUUUUUAGAAGAAAAUGCACAGUGCAAAAAAAAUAUUAAACUUUGAAUAUAUGCCGAAGUUAUUUUUCUUAGGCUAGAUUUAAAAUUUCGUGUCAUUCUAACACUCCAAAAGUGAGGACGGAAAAUAGUAGCAAUCUGAUAAAGAUUUUAAUUGGUAGACCUUUCGGCGACAAAGAAAAGGUCCAGAACUGUAAAAUUAAGAUGAUAUUCUUCUGGUUGAUUUUAACUAAGCUUGCCUUUAAAAUCAUUAUUGUUUAACAUGAUACAGAGGGUGCAUGGAACAAAAUUUUUCAUAGUACAAGCCCCUUUAACAUAGCCUCUUUCCUUUAAAAUCAUUAUUGUUUAACAUGAUACAGAGGGUGCAUGAAACAAAAUUUUGUAUAGUACAUGCCCAUUUAACAUAGCCCAUGUGAGUCCAUGUGAGGGAGGGAGAGCAUGCGAGGGAGAGAGAGAAAACUCAUAUAAAAAAAAAGCCACGUGGCUCGAUAGAGGAACGGCAUUUGGUUUCAACUUUAGUAUAGAGUUAAAUAACUAUUAAGGAUAAUUAUUUAUAUAUCUCUCAAAACUUCAAAAAUAUCUAAUUUAUUUCUAUUUCAUUUUUGUUUUUAAUAUAACUCUCAUAUGUUCCUCCGCUAUUUAAAAAUACUUCCGCAGUUAUCACCCACUAAGUUAUCUAAGGUUAAACGUAAGUUAAAUAUCUAUCAGAAUUAAAAUCAAAAUAUCUCUUUUGUCUUUAAUUUAAUCGCAAAUAAGAAAAGUUGGGAAUGAGGGAAGGAUAUAUUUGAAAAGAUAAAAAAUCAAAAUAUUUCUUUUGCUCCCUAACUUAAGGGUAAAUAAGAAAAAUUAGUGAUGGUAGAAGAAUAUAUUUAAAAGGGCAAAAUAGUAAUUUUACGUAAAUAACGAAUAUUGCUAAUAGUUCACUAAAGAAUUUAACUAUAAGAGUAUAUUUGAAAUAACUUAGAAUGUAAAAAAUGUGUUUUUAAUAUUAAUCUUCUUAAAGGGAUAAAUCAAAAAGUCAAAAAAUUUUCAGGAGUAUAUAAGCAAUUGUUCCUAGCUAUUAUAA
RNAcentral lists this long non-coding RNA (2000 nucleotides) under Ananas comosus (pineapple). RNAcentral describes it as "long non-coding RNA (ACOM_LNC038498)". Lineage: Eukaryota; Viridiplantae; Streptophyta; Magnoliopsida; Poales; Bromeliaceae. The record is from RNAcentral.